RNAcentral lists this transfer RNA (74 nucleotides) under Crocinitomicaceae bacterium. RNAcentral's name for it is "tRNA-Ala". It matches the Rfam family "tRNA". Rfam says of the family: Transfer RNA (tRNA) molecules are approximately 80 nucleotides in length. Their secondary structure includes four short double-helical elements and three loops (D, anti-codon, and T loops). Further hydrogen bonds mediate the characteristic L-shaped molecular structure. tRNAs have two regions of fundamental functional importance: the anti-codon, which is responsible for specific mRNA codon recognition, and the 3' end, to which the tRNAs corresponding amino acid is attached (by aminoacyl-tRNA synthetases). tRNAs cope with the degeneracy of the genetic code in two manners: having more than one tRNA (with a specific anti-codon) for a particular amino acid; and 'wobble' base-pairing, i.e. permitting non-standard base-pairing at the 3rd anti-codon position. Lineage: Bacteria; Pseudomonadati; Bacteroidota; Flavobacteriia; Flavobacteriales; Crocinitomicaceae. The record is from RNAcentral.
GGGGUUGUAGCUCAGAUGGCUAGAGCACUUGUUUUGCAAUCAAGAUGUCGUGGGUUCGAGUCCCACCUUCUCCA